GCAGUAGCCGCGGUAAUACGAGGGGGGCAAGCGUUGUUCGGAAUUAUUGGGCGUAAAGGGAGCGUAGGCGGUUUUGUAAGUCGUGUGUGAAAUCUUCGGGCUCAACCCGAAGUCUGCAUAUGAAACUGCAGGGCUUGAGUAUGGGAGAGGUGAGUGGAAUUCCUGGUGUAGCGGUGAAAUGCGUAGAUAUAUGGAGGAACACCGGUGGCGAAAGCGGCUCUCUGGCUUGUAACUGACGCUGAGGCUCGGAAGCGUGGGGGCAAACAGGAUUAGAUACCCCCGUAGUCCCUGUCUCUUAUACA
RNAcentral lists this ribosomal RNA (302 nucleotides) under uncultured bacterium. RNAcentral describes it as "partial 16S ribosomal RNA". It matches the Rfam family "Bacterial small subunit ribosomal RNA", at positions 508 to 808 of the family's 1533-position model. The record is from RNAcentral.